GGCCAGAAGUAUCCCUGCCUUAUUAUUCUUUGGGCCAGAGAUCUUCCCCCCUGAUGUAUUCCGCAUACUCCUUGAUGAAUCUCUUCUACAAUGAAUUGUCCUUCUUCUGUUGAGACACAUUUCAUUAGAGGUCCGUCGUAGGAUUUCUUAUACAGAAUAUCACCGAUCAGGCAGAAACUUGAAACGCGUGUUUGCAACUUGCGUUUUUCAUUCUUAUUUUCAGGAAGUUUCUGUCCCUUGAAGUAUUCUAUCAAGGGCUUCCUCUAGUCUUCUUCCUGGAUCGUGACUAAGUUACAAAAAGGUGUAGAUGCUGAGUCAACUAGUAUCUCUCUUUGCCCCCCCUCGAAAGCAGAAGCUAGCUUUGCCAGGUGGUGAGACAUGCCUGAUUACGUCAGUCACUCCCAGCAACGCCCUUCAAACAAGGA
This 425-nucleotide long non-coding RNA is filed under the name Zostera marina. RNAcentral's name for it is "long non-coding RNA (ZMAR_LNC002168)". The record is from RNAcentral. Lineage: Eukaryota; Viridiplantae; Streptophyta; Magnoliopsida; Alismatales; Zosteraceae.